This 358-nucleotide transfer-messenger RNA is filed under the name Patescibacteria group bacterium. It matches the Rfam family "transfer-messenger RNA". From Rfam's summary of the family: Bacterial tmRNA, also known as 10Sa RNA or SsrA, is named for its dual tRNA and mRNA-like properties. The record is from RNAcentral.
GGGGAUGUGUUGGAUUUGAUCAGAGGAUCCUACAUGUAUCGCAUGCCACUACUCGACGCACGUACCGAGUCAAAACAAUCGGGCAACACAAAAUGCAAAAACUAGUCUCUUCGCGAGAUUUAACGCUGCUUUGGCUUACGCCUAGCUAGUGUAACUCAUAGUACCGACUCCUGCUGAGUCUAUGAGUGCUUAAGCAGGUGAACGCAUAGGUCGGGAUGAUGCCAAACAGAUGUGUGCUGAUGUGCUGCUGUGCCCUGUCAUCAAGACCCUAAAACAUCGGACAACCCAUCACGCUAUAGUGGUAGUAUGUAGUAUAUGUACCUUUGAGACACGGGUUCGAGACCCGUCAUCUCCACCA